UGGGGAAUAUUGCACAAUGGGCGAAAGCCUGAUGCAGCAACGCCGCGUGAGUGAUGAAGGCCUUCGGGUUGUAAAGCUCUGUCUUUUGGGACGAUAAUGACGGUACCAAAGGAGGAAGCCACGGCUAACUACGUGCCAGCAGCCGCGGUAAUACGUAGGUGGCAAGCGUUGUCCGGAUUUACUGGGCGUAAAGGAUGCGUAGGCGGAUUUUUAAGUGAGAUGUGAAAUACCCGGGCUUAACUUGGGUGCUGCAUUUCAAACUGGGAAUCUAGAGUGCGGGAGAGGAGAAUGGAAUUCCUAGUGUAGCGGUGAAAUGCGUAGAGAUUAGGAAGAACACCAGUGGCGAAGGCGAUUCUCUGGACCGUAACUGACGCUGAGGCAUGAAAGCGUGGGUAGCAAACAGGAUUAGAUACCCUAGUAGUCCACGCCGUAAACGAUGAGUACUAGGUGUAGGAGGUAUCGACCCCUUCUGUGCCGCAGUUAACACAAUAAGUACUCCGCCUGGGAAGUACGAUCGCAAGAUUAAAACUUAAAUGAAUUGACGGGGUCAUAGC
RNAcentral lists this ribosomal RNA (554 nucleotides) under uncultured bacterium. RNAcentral's name for it is "partial 16S ribosomal RNA". It matches the Rfam family "Bacterial small subunit ribosomal RNA", at positions 355 to 925 of the family's 1533-position model. The record is from RNAcentral.